GAUGAACGCUGGCGGCGUGCCUAAUACACGCAAGUCGAGCGAACGGACGAGAAGCUUGCUUUUCUGAUGUUAGCGGCGGACGGGUGAGUAACACGUGGAUAACCUACCUAUAAGACUGGGAUAACUUCGGGAAACCGGAGCUAAUACCGGAUAAUAUUUUGAACCGCAUGGUUCAAAAGUGAAAGACGGUCUUGCUGUCACUUAUAGAUGGAUCCGCGCUGCAUUAGCUAGUUGGUAAGGUAACGGCUUACCAAGGCAACGAUGCAUAGCCGACCUGAGAGGGUGAUCGGCCACACUGGAACUGAGACACGGUCCAGACUCCUACGGGAGGCAGCAGUAGGGAAUCUUCCGCAAUGGGCGAAAGCCUGACGGAGCAACGCCGCGUGAGUGAUGAAGGUCUUCGGAUCGUAAAACUCUGUUAUUAGGGAAGAACAUAUGUGUAAGUAACUGUGCACAUCUUGACGGUACCUAAUCAGAAAGCCACGGCUAACUACGU
RNAcentral lists this ribosomal RNA (496 nucleotides) under uncultured bacterium. RNAcentral describes it as "partial 16S ribosomal RNA". It matches the Rfam family "Bacterial small subunit ribosomal RNA", at positions 28 to 506 of the family's 1533-position model. The record is from RNAcentral.